RNAcentral lists this ribosomal RNA (423 nucleotides) under uncultured bacterium. Its description in RNAcentral is "bacterial SSU rRNA". It matches the Rfam family "Bacterial small subunit ribosomal RNA", at positions 202 to 622 of the family's 1533-position model. The record is from RNAcentral.
AAGACCUCGCGCUAUUAGAGCGGCCGAUGCCCGAUUAGCUAGUUGGUGAGGUAAUGGCCCACCAAGGCUACGAUCGGUAGCUGGUCUGAGAGGAUGAUCAGCCACACUGGGACUGAGACACGGCCCAGACUCCUACGGGAGGCAGCAGUGGGGAAUUUUGGACAAUGGGCGAAAGCCUGAUCCAGCCAUGCCGCGUGAGUGAAGAAGGCCUUCGGGUUGUAAAGCUCUUUCAGCCGGAACGAAAUCGUCCGGGCUAAUACUCCGGAUGGAUGACGGUACUGGAAGAAGAAGCACCGGCUAACUACGUGCCAGCAGCCGCGGUAAUACGUAGGGUGCAGGCGUUAAUCGGAAUUACUGGGCGUAAAGCGUGCGCAGGCGGCUUUUCAAGUCAGAUGUGAAAUCCCCGGGCUUAACCUGGGAACU